RNAcentral lists this ribosomal RNA (252 nucleotides) under Clostridioides difficile. Its description in RNAcentral is "partial 23S ribosomal RNA". It matches the Rfam family "Bacterial large subunit ribosomal RNA", at positions 1792 to 2046 of the family's 2925-position model. Lineage: Bacteria; Bacillati; Bacillota; Clostridia; Peptostreptococcales; Peptostreptococcaceae. The record is from RNAcentral.
CCAAGCGACUGUUUACCAAAAACAUGGUUGCUCAAGGCGCAAGACGAUGUAUAGGCGCUGACGCCUGCCCGGUGCUGGAAUGUUAAGGGGAUCUGUGAGAGCAAUCGACGCAGUGAACUUAAGCCACAGUAAACGGCGUCUGUAACUAUAACGAUCCUAAGGUAGCGAAAUUCCUUGUCGGGUAAGUUCCGACCCGAACGAAAGGCGUAACGAUUUGGGCACUGAUUCAACAACAGACUCGGUGAAAUUGUA